CACAAGGUUAUUCAGCGCGUCGGAAUGGGCCUCAUAAGCCGAAGGUCGCCGGUUCAAGUCCGGCCCCCGCAACCA
RNAcentral lists this transfer RNA (75 nucleotides) under Fuscovulum blasticum DSM 2131. Its description in RNAcentral is "Rhodobacter blasticus DSM 2131 tRNA-Met". The record is from RNAcentral. Lineage: Bacteria; Pseudomonadati; Pseudomonadota; Alphaproteobacteria; Rhodobacterales; Paracoccaceae.